AGAGCGAACGCUGGCGGCAUGCUUAACACAUGCAAGUCUCACGGGCAGCAAUGUCAGUGGCGGACGGGUGAGUAACGCGUAGGUAUCUAUCCAUGGGUGGGGGAUAACGUCGGGAAACUGACGCUAAUACCGCAUGACAUCUGAGGAUCAAAGGCGCGAGUCGCCUGUGGAGGAGCCUGCGUACGAUUAGCUAGUUGGUGGGGUAAAGGCCUACCAAGGCGACGAUCGUUAGCUGGUCUGAGAGGAUGAUCAGCCACACUGGGACUGAGACACGGCCCAGACUCCUACGGGAGGCAGCAGUGGGGAAUAUUGGACAAUGGGCGAAAGCCUGAUCCAGCAAUGCCGCGUGUGUGAAGAAGGUCUUCGGAUUGUAAAGCACUUUCGGCGGGGACGAUGAUGACGGUACCCGCAGAAGAAGCCCCGGCUAACUUCGCGCCAGCAGCCGCGGUAA
This 451-nucleotide ribosomal RNA is filed under the name uncultured bacterium. RNAcentral's name for it is "SSU rRNA". It matches the Rfam family "Bacterial small subunit ribosomal RNA", at positions 26 to 523 of the family's 1533-position model. The record is from RNAcentral.